AGCAGUUUGCCACGUUUAGGAGCUGGAGGAUUCACUUGCCAUUCCACAGAGUUCUUCUUCUUUUUUUUUUUUUUUAGACAAGGUCUUGCCCUGUAGCCCAGGGUAGAUUGAAGAGGGGCGAUUUUAGCUCCCUGCAACCUCUGCCUCCUGGGCUCAAGUGAUCCUCCCACCUCAGCCUCCCAAGUAGAGUAGCUGAGUAGUUGGGACUACAAACACACGCAGCCACACCCAGCUAAUUUUUGUAUUUUUUGUAUGGAUGGGAUUUCACAAUGUUGUGCAGGCUGGUCUCAAACUCCUGGACUCAAGCAAUCUACUUGCCUCAAAAGUGCUGGGAUUACAGACAUAUGUUAGCAGAGACAUAUUUGGACCCAACCUAUAUACUUUUUCUCUAUAAAGCAUUCAAAGAACAAUGUGACGAUUACAGUUGUGUGGGAUUUCACCCUUCCUUAACUAUAAAAAGAAGACUUCUUGGGCCAGGCCGGUGGCUCACGCCUGUAGUCCCAGCACUUUGGGAAGCCGAGGCGGAUGGAUCACGAGGUCAGGAGAUCGAGACCAGACUGGCCAACAUGGUGAAACCCCGUCUCUAACAAAAAUAGAAAAAUCAGCUGGGCAUGGUGGUGCAUGCCUGUAGUCCCAGCUACUUGGGAAGCUGAGGCAGGAGAAUUGCUUGAACCUGGGAGGUGGAGGUUGCAGUAAACCGAGAUCGUGCCACUGCACUCCAGCCUGGUGACAGAGCAAGAGUCCGUCUGAAAAAAAAAAAAGACUUCUUAAUAAAAAACAGGCAUACCUCAUUUUACUGCACUUCACUUUUUUUGUGCUUCACAGAUAUUGCUUUUUUUUUUUUUUUUUUUUUUUUUUACAAAUGGAAGGUUUGUGUGGUAACCCUUCAUUCAGCAAGUCCAUUGGUGCCAUUUAUCCAAGAGCAUGUGCUCACCUUGCGUCUCUAUGUUACAUUUUGGUAAUUCUUACAAUAUUUAAAAAUUUUCACUAUGAUUAUAUCUGUGAUGGUGGUCUGUGAUCAGUGAUCUUUGAUGUUCCUAUUGUAAUUGUUUUAGGGCACCACCAACUGCAUUCAUAUAGGACGGUGCACUUAAUUGGUAAAUACUGUGUGUAUUCUAACUGCUCCACCAAUCAGGUGUUGCCUCAUCUUUCUCCUGCUCCUUGGACUCUCAAUUCCCUCAGACACAACAGUGUUGAAAUUAGACCAAUUAAUAUCCCUACAAUGGCCUCUAAGUGUUGAAGUGAAAGAAAGAGUUUCAUGUUUCUCACUUUAAAUAAAAAGCUAGAUAUGAUUAAGCUUAGUGAGUGUAUUAGUCUGUUCUCAUGUUGCUAAUAGAGACAUACCUGAGACUGGGUAAUUUAUAAAGAAAAGAGGUUUAAUGGACUCACCACUCCACAUGAUUGGGGAGACCUCACAGUGAUGGUGAAAGACGAAGGAAGAGCAAAGAGACAUCUUACAUGGUGUCAGGCAGAGAGAGCUUGUGUAGGGGAACUCCCUUUUAUAAAACGAUCAGAUAUCAUGAGAUUUAUUCACUAUCAAGAGAACAGCAGGGGGAAGACCCAUCCCCAUGAUUCAACUGCCUCCCACUGGAUCCCUUCCAUAGCACGAGGGAAUUAUGGGAGCUACAAUUCAAGAUGAGGUUUGGGUGCAGACACAGACAGACCAUAUCAUUCUGCCCAUGGCCCCUCCCAAAUUUCAUGUCCUCACAUUUCAAAAUCCGUCAUGCCUUUCCAACAGUCCCCCAAAGUCUUAAGUCAUUUCAGCAUUAAUUCAAAAGUCCACAGUCCAAAGUCUCAUCGGAGACAAGCUAAGUCCCUUCUGCCUAUAAGCCAGUAAAAUCAAAAGCAAGUUAAUCACUUCAUACAUAGAAUGGGGGUACAGGCAUUGGGUAAAUACAGCCAUUUCAAAUGGGAGAAAUUGGCUAAAAUGAGGGGGCUAAAGACCCCAUGCAAGUCUAAAAUCCAGCAGGGCAGUCAAAUCUUAAAGCUCCAAAAUGUUCUCCUUCAACUUAAUGUCUCUCAUCCAGGUCACACUGAUGCAAGAGGUGGGUUCCCAUGAUCUUAGGUCCCCUGUGGCUUUGUAGGGUACAGCCUCCCUCCUGGCUGCUCUCACAGGGUGGCAUUGAGUGUCUGUGGCUGUUCCAGACACAUGAUGCAAGCUGUUGGUGGAUCCACCAUUCUGGGGUCUGGUGGAUGGUGGCCCUCUUCUCACAGCUCCACUAGGCAGUGCCCAGUGGACUCUGUGUGGAGGCUUCAACCCCACAUUUCCCUUCCAUACUGCCCUAGCAGAGGAUCUCCAUGAGGGUCCUGCCCCUGCAGCAAAUUUCUGCUUGGACAUCCAAGCAAUUUAUAUAUCCUCUGAAAUCUAGGCAGAGGUUCCUAAAUCUCAAUUUUUGACUUCUGUGCACCCACAGGCUCAACACCACAUGGAAACUGCCAAGGCUUGGGGCUUGCACCCUCUGAAGCCAUGGCCUGAGCUGCACCUUGGCCCCUUUUUGCCAUGGCUAGAGCGGGUGGGAUGCAGGGAACCAAGCUCCUAGGCUUCACACAGAAGGGGGACCCUGGGCCUGGCCCAUGAAACCAUUUUUUCCUCCUAGGACUCUGGGCCUGUGAAGGGAGGGGCUUCCGUGAAAGUCUCUGACAUGCUCUGGAGACAUUUUCCCCAUUGUCUUGCUGAUUAACAUUUGACUCCUCAUUACUUAUGCAAAUUUUUGCAGCCAGCUUAAAUAUCUCCUCAGAAAAUUGGUUUUUCUUUUCUAUUGCAUUAUCAGGCUACACAUUUUUCAAACUUUUAUGCUUUGUUUCCCUUUUAAAACUGAAUGCUUUUAAAAGCGCCCAAGUCAACUCUUGAACUAUUUGCUGCUUAGAAAUUUCUUCCACAAGAUACCCUUAAUAAUCUCCCUCAAGUUCAAAGUUCCAAAAAUCUCUAAGGCAGGGUCAAAAUGCUGCCAGUCUCUUUGCUAAAGCAUACAUAGCAGGAGUCACCUUUGCUCCAGUUCCCAACAAAUUUUUUGUCUCCAUCUGAGACCAACUCAGCCUGGAUUUCAUUGUCCAUAUCAUUAUUAGCGUUUUGGUCAAAGCCAUUCAACAAGUCUCUAGGAAUUUCCAAACUUUCCCACGUUUUCCUGUCUUCUUCUGAGCCUUCCAAACUGUUCCAACCUCUGCUUGUUAUCCAGUUCCAAAGUUGCUUCCACAUUUUUAGGUAUCUUUACAGCAGCCCGCCACUCUACUCCUACUAAUUUAGUGUAUUAAUCUGUUUUCAUGAUGCUGAUAAAAACAUACUUGAGACUUGGUAAUUUAUAAAGAAAAGGAGGUUUAAUGGACUCAUAGUUCCAUGUAGCCAGGGAGGCGUUACAAUCGUGGUGGAGGAUGAAAGGCACGUCUUACAUGGAGACAGGGCAGGGGCCUUGUGUAGGGGAACUCCCCUUUAUAAAACCACCAGAUCUUGUGAGCCUUAUUCACUAUCACAAGAACAGCAUGGGAAAGACCCGCCCCCAUGAUUCAAUUACUUCCCACUGGUUCCCUCUCACAGUGUGUGGUAAUUAUGGAAAUUAUAAUUUAAGAUGAGAUUUGGGUGGGGACACAGAUAAACUAUAUCAGUGAGGAAAGCAUGUUGAAAGCUGAGAGAGGUCAAAAGCUAGGCUUCUUG
This 3649-nucleotide long non-coding RNA is filed under the name Homo sapiens (human). RNAcentral describes it as "non-protein coding lnc-DKK1-5:5". The record is from RNAcentral. Lineage: Eukaryota; Metazoa; Chordata; Mammalia; Primates; Hominidae.